UACGAAGGGGGCUAGCGUUGUUCGGAAUUACUGGGCGUAAAGCGCACGUAGGCGGAUCGAUCAAUCAGGGGUGAAAUCCCAGGGCUCAAACCCUGGAACUGCCCUUUGAUACUGUCGAUCUGGAGUAUGGAAGAGGUGAGGUGGAAUUCCGAGUGUAGAGGUGAAAUUCGUAGAUAUUCGGAGGAACACCAGAGGCGAAGGCGGC
Molecule: ribosomal RNA, 205 nt
Filed under: uncultured bacterium
Lineage: Bacteria
Description: partial 16S ribosomal RNA
Rfam family: Bacterial small subunit ribosomal RNA
Source: RNAcentral